RNAcentral lists this ribosomal RNA (483 nucleotides) under Graphis pulverulenta. Its description in RNAcentral is "eukaryotic LSU rRNA". It matches the Rfam family "Eukaryotic large subunit ribosomal RNA", at positions 143 to 642 of the family's 3401-position model. Lineage: Eukaryota; Fungi; Ascomycota; Lecanoromycetes; Ostropales; Graphidaceae. The record is from RNAcentral.
UUGUAAUUUGGAGAAGGUGUUUCGGAAGAGAUGAUGGUCCAAGUUCCUUGGAACAGGGCGUCAUAGAGGGUGAGAAUCCCGUAUGCGACCAAUCGUCGAUUCCUUGUGAAGCCCUUUCGACGAGUCGAGUUGUUUGGGAAUGCAGCUCUAAACGGGUGGUAAAUUUCAUCUAAAGCUAAAUACCUGCCAGAGACCGAUAGCGCACAAGUAGAGUGAUCGAAAGAUGAAAAGCACUUUGAAAAGAGAGUCAAACAGUACGUGAAAUUGUUGAAAGGGAAGCGCUUGCAAUCAGACUUGUUUACAGAUGCUCAGCCUUCCUACGGGUUGGUGUAUUCUUCUGUCAACGGGCCAGCAUCAGUUUUGGCGGUUGGAUAAAGAUUUUGGGAAUGUAGCUUUUCUCGAAGAGUGUUAUAGCCUGGAAUGCAAUGCAGCAGCCGAGACUGAGGUCCGCGCUUUUGCUAGGAUGUUGGCAUAAUGGUUGCU